UAGGGAAUCUUCCGCAAUGGACGCAAGUCUGACGGAGCAACGCCGCGUGAGUGAAGAAGGAUUUCGGUUCGUAAAACUCUGUUGUUAGAGAAGAACAGCGCAUAGAGUAACUGUUAUGCGUGUGACGGUAUCUAACCAGAAAGCCACGGCUAACUACGUGCCAGCAGUCGCGGUAAUACGUAGGUGGCAAGCGUUGUCCGGAUUUAUUGGGCGUAAAGCGAGCGCAGGCGGUCAAUUAAGUCUGAUGUGAAAGCCCCCGGCUCAACCGGGGAGGGUCAUUGGAAACUGGUUGACUUGAGUGCAGAAGAGGAGAGUGGAAUUCCAUGUGUAGCGGUGAAAUGCGUAGAUAUAUGGAGGAACACCGGUGGCGAAAGCGGCUCUCUGGUCUGUAACUGACGCUGAGGCUCGAAAGCGUGGGGAGCGAACAGG
This 429-nucleotide ribosomal RNA is filed under the name Bacteroidota bacterium. RNAcentral describes it as "Bacteroidetes bacterium partial 16S ribosomal RNA". It matches the Rfam family "Bacterial small subunit ribosomal RNA", at positions 355 to 776 of the family's 1533-position model. Lineage: Bacteria; Pseudomonadati; Bacteroidota. The record is from RNAcentral.